Molecule: ribosomal RNA, 279 nt
Filed under: uncultured bacterium
Lineage: Bacteria
Description: partial 16S ribosomal RNA
Rfam family: Bacterial small subunit ribosomal RNA
Source: RNAcentral
AGCGAACGCUGGCGGCAGGCCUAAUACAUGCAAGUCGAGCGCACCUUCGGGUGAGCGGCGGACGGGUGAGUAACGCGUGGGAAUAUGCCCUUUGGUACGGAACAACUGAGGGAAACUUCAGCUAAUACCGUAUGUGCCCUUCGGGGAAGGAUUAUCGCCAUUGGAGUAGCCCGCCGUUGGAUUAGCUAGUUGGUAGGGGUAAAGGACCUACCAAGGCUACGAUCCAUAGCUGGUCUGAGAGGAUGAUCAGCCACAUUGGGACUGAGACACGGCCCAAAC